AGAGAGAAAGAGAAGGAACCAGGGAUAAACAAACAUUGCUCAUAUGAUGGGUGAUGCUGUGUACAAAGUCCAAAGCGUGGCAUCACAGGACAGUGGAGUCAUUUCAGUUGGACAUCAACAGCCAGUGGCCCUGCUGCAGGAGAUCAAGCACCAAGAGAAAUUAGUAAGGAGAGUCCAG
This is a long non-coding RNA of Carcharodon carcharias (great white shark), 178 nucleotides long. RefSeq lists it as uncharacterized. Lineage: Eukaryota; Metazoa; Chordata; Chondrichthyes; Lamniformes; Lamnidae. The transcript is spliced from 3 exons. The record is from RefSeq and is a predicted model, not a curated record.